RNAcentral lists this ribosomal RNA (433 nucleotides) under uncultured bacterium. RNAcentral describes it as "partial 16S ribosomal RNA". It matches the Rfam family "Bacterial small subunit ribosomal RNA", at positions 29 to 507 of the family's 1533-position model. The record is from RNAcentral.
AACGAACGCUGGCGGCAGGCCUAACACAUGCAAGUCGAACGGGACCUUCGGGGUAAGUGGCGGACGGGUGAGUAACGCGUGGGAACGUGCACGUAUCUACGGAAUAGUACUGGGAAACGGGGGGUAAUACCGGAUAAUGUCUUCGGGGAAAAGAUUUAACGGGGGGGGGUGAGCCCGGGUUGGACUAGCUUGUUGGUAGGGUAAUGGCCUACCAAGGCGACGAUCCAUAGCUGGUAUGAGAGGAUGAUCCGCCACACUGGGACUGAGACACGGCCCAGACUCCUACGGGAGGCAGCAGUGGGGAAUAUUGGACAAUGGGGGCGACCCUGAUCCAGCCAUGCCGCGUGAGUGAUGAAGGCCUUAGGGUUGUAAAGCUCUUUCAGCCGGGAAGAUAAUGACGGUACCAGGAGAAUAAGCACCGGCUAACUCCGUG